CAGGUUUACCUGUGUGACUGCGUACCUUUUGUAUAAUGGGUCAGCGACUUAUAUUCUGUAGCAAGGUUAACCGAAUAGGGGAGCCGGAGGGAAACCGAGUCUUAACCGGGCGUUAAGUUGCAGGGUAUAGACCCGAAACCCGGUGAUCUAGCCAUGGGCAGGUUGAAGGUUGGGUAACACUAACUGGAGGACCGAACCGACUAAUGUUGAAAAAUUAGCGGAUGACCUGUGGCUGGGGGUGAAAGGCCAAUCAAACCGGGAGAUAGCUGGUUCUCCCCGAAAGCUAUUUAGGUAGCGCCUCGUGAAUUCAUCUCCGGGGGUAGAGCACUGUUUCGGCUAGGGGGCCAUCCCGGCUUACCAACCCGAUGCAAACUGCGAAUACCGGAGAAUGUUAUCACGGGAGACACACGGCGGGUGCUAACGUCCGUCGUGAAGAGGGAAACAACCCAGACCGCCAGCUAAGGUCCCAAAGUCAUGGUUAAGUGGGAAACGAUGUGGGAAGGCCCAGACAGCCAGGAUGUUGGCUUAGAAGCAGCCAUCAUUUAAAGAAAGCGUAAUAGCUCACUGGUCGAGUCGGCCUGCGCGGAAGAUGUAACGGGGCUAAACCAUGCACCGAAGCUGCGGCAGCGACACUGUGUGUUGUUGGGUAGGGGAGCGUUCUGUAAGCCUGCGAAGGUGGCCUGUGAGGGUUGCUGGAGGUAUCAGAAGUGCGAAUGCUGACAUAAGUAACGAUAAAGCGGGUGAAAAGCCCGCUCGCCGGAAGACCAAGGGUUCCUGUCCAACGUUAAUCGGGGCAGGGUGAGUCGACCCCUAAGGCGAGGCCGAAAGGCGUAGUCGAUGGGAAACGGGUUAAUAUUCCCGUACUUGGUGUUACUGCGAAGGGGGGACGGAGAAGGCUAUGUUGGCCGGGCGACGGUUGUCCCGGUUUAAGCGUGUAGGUGUGUGUUCCAGGUAAAUCCGGUUCACUUUAACACUGAGGCGUGACGACGAGGCACUACGGUGCUGAAGCAACAAAUGCCCUGCUUCCAGGAAAAGCCUCUAAGCAUCAGGUAACAUCAAAUCGUACCCCAAACCGACACAGGUGGUCAGGUAGAGAAUACCAAGGCGCUUGAGAGAACUCGGGUGAAGGAACUAGGCAAAAUGGUGCCGUAACUUCGGGAGAAGGCACGCUGACACGUAGGUGAAGUGAUUUACUCAUGGAGCUGAAGUCAGUCGAAGAUACCAGCUGGCUGCAACUGUUUAUUAAAAACACAGCACUGUGCAAACACGAAAGUGGACGUAUACGGUGUGACGCCUGCCCGGUGCCGGAAGGUUAAUUGAUGGGGUCAGCGCAAGCGAAGCUCCUGAUCGAAGCCCCGGUAAACGGCGGCCGUAACUAUAACGGUCCUAAGGUAGCGAAAUUCCUUGUCGGGUAAGUUCCGACCUGCACGAAUGGCGUAAUGAUGGCCAGGCUGUCUCCACCCGAGACUCAGUGAAAUUGAACUCGCUGUGAAGAUGCAGUGUACCCGCGGCAAGACGGAAAGACCCCGUGAACCUUUACUAUAGCUUGACACUGAACAUUGAGCCUUGAUGUGUAGGAUAGGUGGGAGGCUUUGAAGUGUGGACGCCAGUCUGCAUGGAGCCGACCUUGAAAUACCACCCUUUAAUGUUUGAUGUUCUAACGUGGACCCGUUACCCGGGUUGCGGACAGUGUCUGGUGGGUAGUUUGACUGGGGCGGUCUCCUCCUAAAGAGUAACGGAGGAGCACGAAGGUUGGCUAAUCCUGGUCGGACAUCAGGAGGUUAGUGCAAUGGCAUAAGCCAGCUUGACUGCGAGCGUGACGGCGCGAGCAGGUGCGAAAGCAGGUCAUAGUGAUCCGGUGGUUCUGAAUGGAAGGGCCAUCGCUCAACGGAUAAAAGGUACUCCGGGGAUAACAGGCUGAUACCGCCCAAGAGUUCAUAUCGACGGCGGUGUUUGGCACCUCGAUGUCGGCUCAUCACAUCCUGGGGCUGAAGUAGGUCCCAAGGGUAUGGCUGUUCGCCAUUUAAAGUGGUACGCGAGCUGGGUUUAGAACGUCGUGAGACAGUUCGGUCCCUAUCUGCCGUGGGCGCUGGAGAACUGAGGGGGGCUGCUCCUAGUACGAGAGGACCGGAGUGGACGCAUCACUGGUGUUCGGGUUGUCAUGCCAAUGGCACUGCCCGGUAGCUAAAUGCGGAAGAGAUAAGUGCUGAAAGCAUCUAAGCACGAAACUUGCCCCGAG
This 2239-nucleotide ribosomal RNA is filed under the name Salmonella enterica subsp. enterica serovar Enteritidis. RNAcentral describes it as "partial 23S ribosomal RNA". It matches the Rfam family "Bacterial large subunit ribosomal RNA", at positions 580 to 2803 of the family's 2925-position model. The record is from RNAcentral. Lineage: Bacteria; Pseudomonadati; Pseudomonadota; Gammaproteobacteria; Enterobacterales; Enterobacteriaceae.